This 3644-nucleotide long non-coding RNA is filed under the name Homo sapiens (human). RNAcentral's name for it is "HSALNT0183583". Lineage: Eukaryota; Metazoa; Chordata; Mammalia; Primates; Hominidae. The record is from RNAcentral.
AUCCAUUUCAUUUAGCAAAUAGUGUUGGUCCCAGGAAAAAGCACCAAGCCUGGGAAUCCCUGCCACAAUGACAGAAUCACAUUCAACAGCUGCUUCCAGCAUAGGAUGCAAUCCCCGCCGCCAGCAUCCCUCCCACCUCCAGAAAUAGUAAACAUCUGCCAAGAGAGAGCCCCAUUAGUAAAAUUCCCACCUUCUAAGGGUCAUCGAUUGGCUUUCUUCUGAGCUUCCUGCCUGCUUCCCUCAUCUCUGCAGCCUGUUAGAGCCUGCCACGACCGCGUGGGCAACCCCUAGCUGCAGUUUCUUUCCUCUUCUCUGCCCUCAGCACUUUCCCCUCCAGGAGCACAACUCUGAGCUGUCAUUCCUGUCAACCAGAUGGGAGAUCAGCCACAAAGCUGCUCCGCCUCUCGCAAGGACAGGAACUCUUGUGGCAGGCAGGCUUUCGGGGCGGCUCCAAGAGGGACUUCACUGCAGCCAGCGUGGAGCAGGAUGCUGACAGCAGAGUGGCUCCAGUGAGCUGCCAUUCCAGAUGUCAGGAACAAGCUCACAGACUGAGUGAAGCCGAGAAGGAUUGCAAACACCAGUGAGAAAGGGCUGGGAGACAACAGUGACGGAGAAGAGGAGCAGGCUUUCAGGCGAUAAGGUGGCUGUGAACUGCUUUGAAAUGAGGACAGGCCUCCUGGGAGGAGGGAAGAAUGCACCGAAGCAUGCACUGAUGAAAGUUUCUAUCCAAAGACCCAGAGCCACACUGCUCUUCAUGGAAUGGGGCUGUAUCCUGGCUCAACAACCACAGCAUUUUCACACUUAACAAAAGAAAAGGUUACAGUUUCCUGAGAUCAACUGCGGUCUGAAAAUCGAAGUCUUCAAUCAACACAACUGAGCUGAGACUCCUCUAGAAGAGAGCUAUCAGGGUCCUGACAGACAGCUGGUGAGGUGCAGAAUGACAUGAGUGAGGGGCUUGGCGCUGACGUGAAGGUUGAGGAGGCAGUCACCGGAACCCCACGCAGGCUAGAGCUGUGACCGACAGAAACGACGAUGUGUGUUCCUAGAGGCUUAGGCAGUGCCAGAGAAAUCACUCAGUGCCAGCUGGCUCCUGCAUGAAUGCUUCUCUAGACAAGCUGACCUUUGCUACUUAGUAGGGUGUACGUUGCCUCUAAGCCCAUUUCCAAUUUACUGACACCUGGUGGAUUUUUAUUCACCACUGAGCUCUGGCCCGAAGAGAGCUGCCAAACGUCCUAGGCCAUCCAUUCACUCAGCACUUAUAAUCGUGAUAGUCACCACCCAUGAAAGCUUUAGGACCUGUUUCAGUGUUUCUGCAUCGUGUCGCCUGAGGGCUUUCUUCUGUGACCAGAAACUGCUCUGCCCCCAAGCAGCACUGGCCUGGAACUGGAGAAUUAAAGACCUCCCUAAUCCCACACGCAAACUUUGAUGUGAUUGGCAUAUAAGUAUCUUAGCACCCUAGUAUCAUGAGUUACAUGGCGCUGAGGCACAUAUUCCACGCUGGGCCCAGCACUUCCCAGAGGGACUGAGUCCCAGGGUGGCAUCUCACUUGGUGAUGUGCCUUGUACUGGUUACCUUCCCUUCCCAUGUCAGCUCACUCUUCUACUGGCGUGUGCUGGAAUCACCUCCCAAACCAACUAUUUAAAUCUUUGCUUCUGGAGAGACCCCAACUAAAAUAAUAUGUAUUUGCUCUAAGUAGUUUGAUACAGAGCAGAUAAUGAAAAACAGGAGCUGACAAUUAUAAAGUGGAAUUCUUGAGCAAGUGGUAAGCUCCAUUUCUUAGCCUUCUACACCCUCCUCCUCACAACACCAGAGUCAAGAAUUCCUGUCUCCUAAGGAAAUGUCUCUUAUGGCUUGGGUGGAUGCUGUUGUAGGGGUAUGAAACAAGCCAGUUCCCUUAGCCAGUGAGUAUGCACUGGCUGUUUAGAAUGUGCCCAACAGGCGCCAGCCUCUGGAGAGGUCAUUAAUAGCCUCGGGCAUGGUCCCUGCCUCAAGUUGGAGAGUUAGGGCUCAUGAAGUAAGGAGCAAUACAUUUCCAGCCCGUGCUGUUUGACAGCAGUACUUUUCAACACUCGGCCACAUGUGCUGAAGCCUGCUGGUGUCUGCCCAGGUCCCCUCGACUGGAGGGGACCCUGUGCCCCCUCUAGAGCAUUGAUGAGUAACUCACAGCUGUCUCUCCAGAGAGUCAUCCUUGGCCAAACCUUCAUGUGGGCAGCUACCACCCACCACACCAGCCCCUCUUCCAGAUCAGACCUCAGCAAACCUGACUGGCCUAGGGAUACAGAAGACCAGCCUCUUGCGUCCACGUGGGACCAAGUCUGCAGUGUGACUUGUGCUCCAGAACUCUCCCACAGGCUCAGCCUGAAGUCAGGCUCCAGCGAAGCCCAUCCCUGCCUGGCUUCUCUCCACAGUCCUAUUCUGCUGCCCUGACUCCUCUUCCCUAAGGGCUAUUGCCCAGCGAAGCCCAUGGUCUCAGACUGGGCUUCAAAGAAACCUGACUCCAUGUUAGCAUCUUCUGCGGAGUUUUAUAAAAACACAUACACCUGAACUUAACCACCUAGACUUACUGAGCCAGAAGCUAUAGAGCUUCAAGAGUGGGAACCAGACAACUGUAUGCUUUAAAGCCUAAUAGAUAUUUCUAAUUCACCAGUUUAUCUCUCAACUUUUCAUUUUGAAAAUGCCAAACUUACAGAAAUAAUGAAAGUAUAAUGUAGUGAUAAAUAUCUACAUACUCAGCAUCUAGAUAUACCAAUUAUUAAUAUUUUGCUCCAUUUUCCUCUCUCUCUCUCACAUAUCAAAAAUAAUUUGCAAGUAAAUUGUAGACAUUAUGACACUUUAUCCUUCAGUUCUUCAGCAGAUAUUAUCCAAGAAUAAAGACAUUCUCCUACAUAACCCCAGUGUCAUAAUCACCCACAGGAAAUUAAUACUAACUUGUUAACAUCCCCAGAGCAUACAGUCCAUAGUUAAGAUGUACCCUCUGUUUUAGGCCAAAGGUGGCAAUUUUCUCAACUUUAGACUCAACAGAAGUUUGGAGAAGGGAAAAAUCUGUAUGAGUUGAAUAGAAAGGAAAAUACUUCAUGGAGGAAAGAGGAUAAGAAUUGGGCUGUGAAGGAUUGACAUUAGAAAGAAGGGGUGGAGCAAAUGCUCAGAUAGAAGCAGGUAAAUACCUAUGCAAACAUGCAGACAUGGGCAUUGGAAUUGCCUUUUGUGGGAGGAGAAGACUGAGCAGAAUUUGUGGACUAGGAUAGGUAGGCUGUGCAGCUGGACAGGCCUCAUGCAAUCUGAGUACAGAGAAAUUGCCAAUCCAAGCAAUCAAAAAAACAGUGGCCACACACCAAGAAACGUUAAAGGUGACUGCACUUAGGAGAGUGGCAUCAGAUUUGUGGGACACAUUCAGGUGAAUUCUAGUCAGGACCAUGGCAAAGCAUUUGGGGUCAGAAUUAAACUGGGGAGUUAAUUACUGAUUGAAAUUCAUUUAUUCAUAUAUUCGUUCUACCAGCAUUUUCUGAGUACAUAUUAUGUGCCAAAAUACCAAUGUGAACACAGGAAAUAAAGCACUGAAAAAACAGACAAGGUCCUUGCUUUCAUGAAACUUAGGUAGGGGUGUGUGUGUGUGUGCGCGUGUGUGUGUGUGUUGGUUGAGUGGG